RNAcentral lists this ribosomal RNA (432 nucleotides) under uncultured bacterium. RNAcentral's name for it is "partial 16S ribosomal RNA". It matches the Rfam family "Bacterial small subunit ribosomal RNA", at positions 29 to 507 of the family's 1533-position model. The record is from RNAcentral.
ACGCACGCUGGCGGCCUGCCUAACCCCUGCACGUCGAACGAGACCUUCGGGUCUAGUGGCGCACGGGUGCGUAACGCGUGGGAACCUGCCUUUAGGUUCGGAAUAACUCAGAGAAAUUUGAGCUAAUACCGGAUGAUGUCUUCGGACCAAAGAUUUAUCGCCUUUAGAUGGGCCCGCGUUGGAUUAGCUAGUUGGUGGGGUAAAGGCCUACCAAGGCGACGAUCCAUAGCUGGUCUGAGAGGAUGAUCAGCCACACUGGGACUGAGACACGGCCCAGACUCCUACGGGAGGCAGCAGUGGGGAAUAUUGGACAAUGGGCGAAAGCCUGAUCCAGCAAUGCCGCGUGAGUGAUGAAGGCCUUAGGGUUGUAAAGCUCUUUUACCCGAGAUGAUAAUGACAGUAUCGGGAGAAUAAGCGCCGGCUAACUCCGUG